UAAUAUAAUUGAAUUUUAUUUACUAGUUUUAUCUAGUCUAAUUUAUCUAGUUUAAUCUUAUAUUUAUUUUAGGAUGCUAAAAGUUAACUAGCAGUUACGCAAAUUUGUAAAUUUUAGGGCUAAAAGAGGCCGAGGGUAUACUCAGUAAACACAUGGGAAUUAAACAAAAUUGUAUCAAGUUUAUAGCUUAUGUCCAUGUUGCACAUUGAGACUCUUAUUUUUUCGUCAGUGCAUAUUAUCGGCCACUUGGAUAUGAAUAAAUAUCCAAGAAAACACAUCAAAAAUAUAGAAACAUUUGAUUUUUCCAGUUGUGACCUGCAUUACUUCAACAAAAUUUCUGGAUAUCAGUACUGUCACCGAUUUAGGUUACUCUACUACAUUAAGCAAUUGAGAAGAAAUUCCUAUUCUUGAUAUGCCGAUAGAUAUUGUUGAUGACCUUUAUGAUGGGAGAUACUACAGAUCAAUUAUCGAGUGCGAAACCUACGAUGACUUCUACUUCUUGUGAAGAAAGUAACUAAGAAAACUUUUUUACUGUCUGCCCAUUAAUAAAGUUUAUUUUUGCAGAAGCUACUGAUGGUCAAGUGCCAAAUAUUCAUGACAUUUAAUGAAUAUUCUGCAAAAACCCUACGAAGUAUUAGACAUCCCCGUUGAGCAUGCUUUUACUACAGAAUCCCUGCAACCAGUAAAUGAAAUGCAGACCAAAAAUUAUGCCGACGUAGGACUUUGUACUGACCAUAGUGACAUAGAAAAUGAUCUCUUUCUGAGUCAGAUGCUGAAGAUAAUUAUAUUAAGAAUCAGAACGAAAAUAUUCAUGAUGUUUUCAAUGAAAAUCGGAGCAGCAUAAACAUUAAAAAGGGAAAAAAGAGAGUAAAGAAUGAUUCAGAAUAUAAAAACAAAUGUAAGACAACAAGCAGGAACUUGUGGAAAAGUAUAUAUCUCUAGUAGAAAAACAUCAGUUCGUGCUAGACAACUAAAGGCAAAAUGCAAAGAAACCCGUAAGCUUAAAUGUUUGGGUUAUUUUCGAAGUUAUUUUCGAGAAAGAGCGUAUAAUAUUUUAAAAGUAAUUUUGGAAUAACGAUAUUGUUUACGAUAGAAAGAGACCGUUUAUAGCAGCUUGUAUAGAAGAAACCCAGGUACAGUCAGUGACAGCGGUCCGAAAUGGAGCUAGAGAAGGUAAAAGAGCUGCUACAUACUUCUAUUCUUUAACUUGAAACCCCAUUUAGAAGAAUUUAAAAAAAAUCCCUGAAAUUUUGGACAUAUCUCAAAAUUUUGCAGAUUAUCCCUUCGAAAAACCAUUGCAGGUUGGAAAGGUCAUAGGUCUCAGAAUAAAGUACCGGAUGAAAUUCGACAAAAUAACAUGAAUGUGACCUAAAUGUGAUUAAAAUACACCCACUUUACUCUGACCAGUGUAUAGCGGAAAAAUUCCCGCUUGGCCAAAUUGGAAAGUUGUGGCUUUAUAGAAUUAUAUAUUCUCAGUUUAGCCUAAUAUUUAAAACACCUGUGAUGCCUAUUAGUAACAAAGAGCUGCUAAAAAUACGAAAAACAAAAAAGUUAUUACGAUUGAUCAUGAAAAAUGUUUGCCAAUUUCAUUCCUCAAAAAUGCACAAAGCUUCUACUCCCUUAAACAUUGAACCUUACAAUUCAUAGCUCAACCAUUAAUAACACCCUUUGUAUGAUGUGGGAUGAGACUGUUUCUGCUAGAUGUGGAAACGAAAUUUCGUCUUUAAUUUUAUUUUAAAAUGACUAUUAAUUUCCCCUCUAGAUAAUCAAAUUGAAGAGUUGGCAAUAUGAUCAGACAACUGUCCUUCCCAGAAUAGGAAUUUAAUGACUGUGAUGUGUUAUCUUUACAUUGUUUCUAUUUGCCCAAAGCUUAAAAUCAUCAACCAUAAACACCUACUAAGAGGGCACAUACAUCUUAAAGCAGAUACUGACAUUGUAUUAAUUGAGAGGCAAAAAAAGGAAGCUGCUUUUGAUAGAUAACCACUCCAAGGGCAACUUGUAAGAAUUAGCUCUCGAAAGUUCUCUGUAAUUAAUAUGGGUACAAAUGAUUUCUUGGACUCGGAGUUUUGUAUUAUUUUAUAUUAUUAUAUUAUUAUAGAAUUUCUAUAACCAUGUUACAUAAGCAGCCUGAUAGGUAAAAACGAACACCACACUCUAAAAUGGCCUUCCCCCAAAAGCAUUCAACUCGUGUUCGCACUAAGGUGAGAAGAUUUUUUAGCAUUAAUUUAAAUAAUUAAAUAAUAUUUUUACCAGAAUAUCAGUAAAGAGACAUCCAUAAUUACUUGCAUUUAUUAGUUUAUCAACAUUGUUAUUAAUAUUGAUGAUUAGUUUUUAUAUGCAUUAUUGUGUAAAUUACUGAUUAUAGAUUUCAUAUAUUUUUAUUGACAUAUUUUUUAUGGGGUUAGUUCUUAUUGUAUCAGAUUUUGCUCCCUGAUUAAACGGAAAUGAUUUAUCUUUAUUUUAAUUUGCAAAGACCAUAUCAGGAUAUGGUUCUUUUUACAAAGAAGUGGUGUUUUUUUGCAAAGAAGAAAAAUUAAUUGUUGUUAACAAGAAGUAUUUUGAUUUUGGCUUAAGUUACAAACUUGGCUUGUAUUUUUUGCGCCCUGAUGGUAACUGAGCUUAAAGUUUACAAACUCUAUUGUACUUUAUCUACUACAUAGUCUACUUCUCUGUGUGAGAUAGAAUUUUUUGAUAUAUUGCUAUUUUUUUUCGUCAUGUUCUAUAACUUUUAUACCUCAUCCAAAUAUUACAAUCCCUUAAAAAAUAUGUUUAUCACUUUUAAAUUGUUUUUACUUUUCCACAUAUUGAUUGCCAUUUAUCAAGGGUACUUACUGGCAAAUGAAUUAAGUACCUUAAAAAUUACCUGUAAAAAUUGCACAUCAGUACUUGACUCCAGCCUCUCUAUGUUUCUUCAUAACAACCUUAUUCUUUUCUACAAUAAGCGUUUCCUCUUCGCUGUUUUCUGAACACUUUCUAUUAUCUCUUAACAGUCUAUAUUUCUCCUCACCAGUCCCAUCAUACUUAUAUUUCUCCUUCGACCUGGAUAUUUUCUCUAAAUUUUUACUCGAAUCCACAUCGCUGCCAUAUUUGCUUGCUCUGCGGUACUUCUUGUUCUCCCUCGUCUUCGCUUGUUUACUCUUAGAGAUUUUCUCCUCCUCAUUGGCUUUAUUGUUCAUCUCUAGAUCGAGAUCAUGCGCGUUCGCCUGGACGGCUACAUCCAUGGAAGUUUUGGACUGUCGUGAACCGCGAUUUUUUUCAAAUCCGACGCUUACAGUCGAAUUGAGAGAGCUCUGGGCAUUUUGCAACUGUUUGAUCUCCGGGCAGCUGGAACUGUCGCUGUGGUGGCCUUUUUGAUGGCGAGCCUCGCACGAACCCGAAUCGGAGCUGUAUUUUUUUCUGUAAAUAAAUUUAAUAGAGAAAAGUGAAGUUUUGGCUCAUAGUUUCGAAAAGUAAAGAUAAUGUUUAAUGACAAAUUUAUUAUGUUUUAGUAUUACCACAGAUUAAAUAUUAACAGAUACGAAAGUAAAGCGAGAUCGCCGAUUUCAAAACAUCUUUUAGUCACGCCUCUCCAGAAGCCGCCGGCGUCUUGUCGCAGAGUACAGGAGCCAGUCCUCGCGAGUGUGUAUUGCGUCUAAUUUCAAAUCGCACAUUUGUGCGUAGGCAUGUAGCUAUUUUAUCAAAAUGAUUGUGCAUAAAUGUAUUUAAGGUUCCAAUAAAACUGAUAAACGAAAGUCACUUUUUGGAUUUUUAAGAAAUUAGGCAAAAGACAAAGUACCCUCAUAGAAAAUAGUCGCAAGGAUUUAGGUCUGGUGACCUGGCCGGCCACGCUAUUGGCCCUCUUCGUUCUAUUUAUCUUCCUGGGAACACUGUCUGGUCUUGUUCGUCUGAGUAUGGGGCAGCCAAAGGAGGGAUAAGAUCUUCUUGAAGAAAAUUCAAAUAGCGUUGUCCUGUUAAGUUUUCUUCGAAAAAGUAUGGCCCUAUUACUUUAUUUUCCACGAUACUUAUUAUUUAAAUGUAAUAUAUUUCUUAUUCUUAUUA
Anthonomus grandis grandis is the source of this 4038-nucleotide long non-coding RNA. RefSeq lists it as uncharacterized. The transcript has 4 exons. The record is from RefSeq and is a predicted model, not a curated record. Lineage: Eukaryota; Metazoa; Arthropoda; Insecta; Coleoptera; Curculionidae.